This 194-nucleotide unclassified non-coding RNA is filed under the name uncultured Sarcodon. Its description in RNAcentral is "sequence contains ITS2". The record is from RNAcentral. Lineage: Eukaryota; Fungi; Basidiomycota; Agaricomycetes; Thelephorales; Thelephoraceae.
AAUUCUCAACUGCCCUCUUUUCUUAAAGAGGGUGAAGUUGGAUUUGGAGCGCUUUGCUGGCCUUUUGUUACCGGCUGCUCCUAAAAGCAUUCCAAGCCUUUUGUUAUCUCGGCGCAAAGUAUCUUUGACGUGAUAAUUAUCUACGUCGCAGAGAAAGCCUAGAGAGGGGGCUUGUUAAAGUAUUUCUUUGACCC